UGAUCACCACGUGCAAGUAGCUGGGCCAGAAGGACCUCGGCACGUUACGGAAUAUUUACUACAGGAACAGGUGAGCUGAAGGCGAAUUCCCCAGGUGUAGCCUGUGACCAUAGAUUCAGACAAAGCCCUGACUGUUGCCCAGAAUUCAAAAAAGCUGUAGCCCUACCAGAUAGAAUAAGAAAAGAAUAUAGGAUUCUUCCUAUUCAAAUAGGUUGCAUAUAAUUAAGAGCAUGAAAGAUCCAAUGGAAUGAACUCAAAGUAGUUUUUGAGUUUAAUAGACAUGAAGUAUCUUAUGGAAAAGAAUUGCAAAACCACAGAAACAGUGAAGAAGGUUAGUUACAGCCUUGAUGGGGUAGCUGACUUCAGCAGUCUCAGCUAUCUGAAAAGGUAUUUACCAGAUUUUGGUUGGGAACAUAAUCCCUAAAUCAUUUGAGAUAAUGUACUUGUUUCCUUACUGGGUAAAUGUGUUUAAACCUUGAGAAAAUGUAGACAUAAGUAGAAUAUAGAAUAAAUUAAACCUUUGGUAGUAAUGUUUUAGGAU
This 541-nucleotide long non-coding RNA is filed under the name Pan troglodytes (chimpanzee). RNAcentral describes it as "long non-coding RNA NONPTRT016631". The record is from RNAcentral. Lineage: Eukaryota; Metazoa; Chordata; Mammalia; Primates; Hominidae.